Long non-coding RNA from Hibiscus syriacus, 261 nucleotides. RefSeq lists it as uncharacterized. The record is from RefSeq and is a predicted model, not a curated record. Lineage: Eukaryota; Viridiplantae; Streptophyta; Magnoliopsida; Malvales; Malvaceae. The transcript has 3 exons.
AAACUGUCUAACAAACUGAUUAUAUCAUUCUUUGGCUGUUAUAGGUACUGGGCCAUUCUGCUUGGGCCACUCCACAUUGCCCUGGGAUAUCUUCGGCCCGCUUCUUCCCUCAUCAGGAGGAUCAGUGGUAGCAGUAGCAGAAUCCCCGAUGAAUUUCUUCAAAAGGCUCACAUGGAACACUGGGUGGAGCUUCGAAGAAUUUGAGCAAGCGAGGUUUGCCUAUAAGGCUGCAGUUUCAGGUAAACCCUAUCUCCAACAGUA